CCUACGGGUGGCAGCAGUGAGGAAUAUUGGUCAAUGGACGCAAGUCUGAACCAGCCAUGCCGCGUGCAGGAAGACGGCUCUAUGAGUUGUAAACUGCUUUUGUACGAGGGUAAAUCCCGAUACGUGUAUCGGGUUGAAAGUAUCGUACGAAUAAGGAUCGGCUAACUCCGUGCCAGCAGCCGCGGUAAUACGGAGGAUUCAAGCGUUAUCCGGAUUUAUUGGGUUUAAAGGGUGCGCAGGGGGGAGAUCAAGUCAGCGGUAAAAUUGAGAGGCUCAACCUCUUAGAGCCGUUGAGACUGGUUGGGUUGAGUGAGCGAGAGGUAGGCGGAAUGCGUGGUGUAGCGGUGAAAUGCAUAGAUAUCACGCAGAACUCCGAUUGCGAAGGCAGCAUACCGGCGCUCAACUGACGCUCAUGCACGAAAGUGUGGGUAUCGAACAGGAUUAGAUACCCCGGUAGUC
Molecule: ribosomal RNA, 459 nt
Filed under: uncultured bacterium
Lineage: Bacteria
Description: partial 16S ribosomal RNA
Rfam family: Bacterial small subunit ribosomal RNA
Source: RNAcentral